Molecule: signal recognition particle RNA, 98 nt
Filed under: Acetobacter tropicalis
Lineage: Bacteria; Pseudomonadati; Pseudomonadota; Alphaproteobacteria; Acetobacterales; Acetobacteraceae
Description: signal recognition particle sRNA small type
Rfam family: Bacterial small signal recognition particle RNA
About the family: The signal recognition particle (SRP) is a universally conserved ribonucleoprotein involved in the co-translational targeting of proteins to membranes.
Source: RNAcentral
GGAAAGUCGGCGGUGGACGGGCACCUUGUUGACCAGGUCAGAUCCGGAAGGAAGCAGCCACAGUAAGUUUCGCCCGGGUCAUUGUCCGGCUUUCCACC